RNAcentral lists this ribosomal RNA (478 nucleotides) under uncultured bacterium. Its description in RNAcentral is "partial 16S ribosomal RNA". It matches the Rfam family "Bacterial small subunit ribosomal RNA", at positions 28 to 507 of the family's 1533-position model. The record is from RNAcentral.
GAUGAACGCUGGCGGCGUGCUUAACACAUGCAAGUCGAACGAAGUGUUUAUUCAAAGUUCUUCGGGAUAGAGCAUAAAUUACUUAGUGGCGGACGGGUGAGUAACGCGUGGGUAACCUGCCUCACACAGGGGAUAACAGUUGGAAACGACUGCUAAUACCGCAUAAGACCACAGCACCGCAUGGUGCAGGGGUAGAAGAUUUAUCGGUGUGAGAUGGACCUGCGUCUGAUUAGAUAGUUGGUGGGGUAGAAGCCUACCAAGUCAACGAUCAGUAGCCGACCUGAGAGGGUGAUCGGCCACAUUGGGACUGAGACACGGCCCAAACUCCUACGGGAAGCAGCAGUGGGGAAUAUUGGACAAUGGGGGAAACCCUGAUCCAGCAACGCCGCGUGAGUGAAGAAGUAUUUCGGUAUGUAAAGCUCUAUCAGCAGGGAAGAAAAUGACGGUACCUGACUAAGAAGCCCCGGCUAACUACGUG